AAAAUUAUUAUGGAGAUAGUGAAUUUUCCGACUAGGUUAUUGUUCCCCGUUUCUACCUCGAAUUCCACCGUCCCUGUGAGUUCUGUUGUAGCAAUCGAAUAGGUACUAACUAUUUCGUGCUGUGAGUGAGUGUGAGGAUUGUUGAAUCGAAUCGCGAAACUCUUACUUACACCCCUCUCUGUUUUUCUAUUCACAAGGGUUUUGAAAGAUGGCGGUUGAAAAUCCCGAGGAUGGAUUGAAGAAGCUGGAAUACUUGUCGCUGGUGUCGAAGGUGUGCACCGAGUUGGAGUCCCACACCGGCACCGGCGACAAGGUUCUUGCGGAGUUCAUCACUGAGUUGGGUCGAUCAUCGGAGAAUGUUGAGGAAUUCGACGAGAAAUUGAAGGAGAAUGGCGCGGAGAUGCCGGAUUACUUUGUGCGAACGCUCCUCACCAUCAUCCACGCCAUUCUCCCUCCGAAGCCGAUGGAUUCGAAGAAGGAGAAAGACAGUGUCAACGGCAAGACCACCAAGUUCAAGGCUCUGGCCAUCGCGGACGACAGGGACCGGGCCAAGGAGCUUCAGAAGGAGUUAGAAUCCGAGGCCAGAGAAAAGCAGAAGCCAGAAAUUGAGGAAGAUGAUGAUGGGUACCGAGACAGGGAUAGAAGAGAUAGGCGCAGAGAUAGGUAUGAAGAUGAUAGAAGGGAUUAUGGCAGAAGAGGCAGAGAUAGAGAUGAUGAAGAUGAUAGAAGGGAUUAUGGCAGAAGAGGAAGAGAUAGAGAUGAUGAAGAUGAUAGAAGGGAUUACGGCAGAAGAGGAAGAGAUAAAUAUGACAGGGAUAGAGAUAGAUAUGAGAGGCGCAGGAGAGAUGAACAUGAAGAAGAGCAUGGGCGUGGAAGGGAGAAUGGGGAUAGAGAUGGUAAUAGGAAGGGUUUACAGCACGGUUCUGGUGAACUUGAAUUAUAUGCAGUUUAUAAAGGGAGAAUCUCCAGAGUAAUGGAGACUGGGUGCUUUGUACAGUUGGAUGACUUCAGAGGGAAGGAGGGGUUGGUCCAUGUCUCACAGAUGGCCACCCGGAGGAUUACCAAUGCCAAAGAUGUUGUCAAGCGUGAUCAAGAAGUGUAUGUAAAAGUGAUCUCAGUUUCAGGCCAGAAGUUGUCUCUUUCCAUGAGAGACGUUGAUCAACAUACCGGUAAAGAUCUCCUUCCACUGAAGAAGAGCUCUGAGGAUGAUGCGUUGAGGAUGAAUCCGCAGGAUUCAAAAGAUGGGCCUGUUGCCAGGACGGGUCUUUCAGGUAUCAGGAUCGUGGAAGAAGGUGAUGUUGGUUCUUCGCGGAGACCUCUGAAAAGAAUGAGCUCUCCUGAGAGAUGGGAAGCAAAACAGUUGAUUGCUUCGGGUGUCUUGAGUGUUUCAGAGUAUCCAACUUACGAUGAUGAGGGGGAUGGAUUGCUGUACCAAGAGGAAGGCGCAGAGGAGGAGCUUGAGAUUGAGUUGAAUGAAGAUGAGCCUGCAUUCUUGCAAGGGCAGAGCAGAUACUCGAUGGAUAUGUCUCCUGUUAAGAUUUUUAAGAAUCCAGAAGGUUCUCUGGGUCGAGCUGCUGCACUCCAGUCUGCACUUAUAAAGGAGCGUAGGGAAGUGCGAGAACAACAACAACGCACAAUGCUUGAUUCAAUUCCAAAGGAUCUCAAUCGACCUUGGGAAGACCCUAUGCCAGAGUCAGGUGAAAGGCAUCUUGCCCAGGAGCUUAGGGGUGUUGGUUUAUCAGCCUAUGAUAUGCCGGAAUGGAAGAAGGAUGCCUAUGGGAAAACCAUUACCUUUGGGCAAAGGUCAAAGCUUUCUAUUCAGGAGCAGAGGCAGAGUUUGCCAAUUUACAAGUUAAAAAAGGAAUUGAUUCAGGCUGUGCAUGAUAAUCAGGUCUUGGUGGUUAUUGGAGAAACUGGUUCAGGUAAGACUACUCAAGUCACACAGUAUCUUGCUGAAGCGGGCUACACCACAAGAGGCAAAAUUGGAUGUACUCAACCCCGUAGGGUGGCUGCAAUGUCAGUUGCAAAGAGAGUCGCAGAAGAGUUUGGUUGUCGAUUGGGAGAGGAAGUUGGUUAUGCCAUUCGGUUUGAGGAUUGCACUGGACCAGAUACCGUUAUCAAGUACAUGACGGAUGGUAUGCUUCUUAGGGAAAUAUUGGUUGAUGAGAAUCUGUCACAGUAUUCUGUUAUAAUGCUUGAUGAAGCCCAUGAAAGAACAAUACAUACUGAUGUUCUUUUUGGACUGCUGAAGCAGCUAGUGAAGCGUAGACCUGAAUUAAGAUUGAUUGUCACAUCUGCUACUCUGGAUGCCGAGAAAUUUUCAGGAUAUUUCUUUAACUGCAACAUCUUUACUAUUCCUGGUAGAACUUUUCCUGUGGAAAUACUAUACACUAAACAGCCUGAAAGUGAUUAUUUAGAUGCAGCUUUAAUCACUGUCCUACAGAUCCACUUGACAGAGCCUGAGGGAGACAUUCUUCUCUUUUUGACUGGUCAAGAAGAGAUUGAUUUUGCUUGCCAAUCUCUCUAUGAGAGAAUGAAAGGAUUAGGUAAGAAUGUUCCAGAGCUAAUCAUUUUACCGGUUUAUAGUGCCCUUCCUAGUGAAAUGCAGUCUAGGAUAUUUGAUCCUGCUCCUCCUGGGAAAAGGAAAGUGGUAGUGGCUACUAACAUUGCUGAGGCUUCUUUAACUAUUGAUGGGAUAUUUUAUGUGAUUGAUCCUGGAUUUGCUAAGCAAAAUGUUUAUAACCCGAAGCAAGGACUUGAUUCUUUGGUGAUAACUCCAAUUUCACAAGCAUCAGCCAAACAAAGAGCUGGACGUGCAGGGCGUACUGGACCUGGGAAGUGUUAUCGCCUCUACACUGAGAGUGCUUAUAGGAAUGAGAUGUCUCCUACUACAAUUCCUGAGAUUCAAAGGAUAAAUCUGGGGAUGACUACGCUUAAUAUGAAAGCUAUGGGGAUAAAUGAUCUGCUGUCUUUUGAUUUUAUGGAUCCACCAUCACCCCAAGCCUUGAUUUCUGCCAUGGAGCAGCUUUACAGUCUUGGAGCAUUGGAUGAAGAGGGCCUUUUAACUAAAUUAGGGAGGAAAAUGGCAGAAUUUCCUUUGGAUCCACCGUUGUCUAAGAUGUUGCUUGCCAGCGUGGACCUUGGAUGCAGUGAUGAGAUUUUGACCAUAAUUGCCAUGAUCCAGACCGGAAAUAUUUUUUACAGGCCAAGGGAAAAGCAAGCCCAAGCCGAUCAGAAGAGGGCAAAGUUUUUUCAGCCAGAGGGUGACCAUCUUACCCUACUUGCAGUUUAUGAGGCCUGGAAAGCCAAGAAUUUUUCUGGACCCUGGUGUUUUGAAAACUUCGUUCAAUCCCGAUCAUUGAGAAGAGCACAGGAUGUCAGGAAACAACUUCUCACCAUUAUGGAUAAGUACAAAUUGGAUGUUGUAAGUGCGGGAAAAAACUUCACCAAAGUCAGGAAGGCUAUCACUGCAGGGUUCUUUUUCCAUGCUUCUAGAAAGGACCCCCAGGAAGGUUACAGAACCCUUGUUGAGAACCAGCCUGUGUAUAUCCAUCCAAGUUCAGCUCUGUUCCAGAGACAACCAGACUGGGUCAUCUACCAUGAGCUUGUGAUGACAACUAAGGAAUAUAUGCGUGAGGUCACUGUCAUAGACCCCAAAUGGCUUGUUGAAUUGGCUCCAAGAUACUUCAAAGUGGCAGAUCCUACAAAGAUGAGCAAGCGAAAGCGUCAAGAGCGAAUUGAACCACUUUAUGACAGAUACCAUGAGCCAAAUUCAUGGCGUUUGAGUAAACGUCGUGCAUAAUAUGUUUGUUUGGGAAGUAGUAAUUAUUAAGAGGAUAUCUGAAGCUUGGGUAGAAUAGCAUCGUUGAAGUUUGUGUAUGUGAACUUUCCAAUUGGCUGUAUUAUUUGUUAGACUCAAGAAAAUUACAUACACAAACCAGGUAGUUUUAUUUAUAUAUUUUCUGGGUGAAACUAGAAAAAAUGUUGCAAUAGAUAACAGACAGUAAAAGAGUACAGAAAAAAGUCCCUCACAGAAUAACCUGUCUCAGUACACAAUAUUAGGCUGAAGCCCUAGCAGAUUGUUCCUCUCUCAAUCACACUCACAAUACAAUCCCCACACUGAAUGCAGAAACUGACAUGCUAUAUACAUAAGAGACACACACGUAACUGUAAAAUAGUUACUAAACACAACUGCCCUAAAGUUACUGAACACAUACAUAACUGCCAUACUGUUCACAUAACUGUUCUAUCAGUAUUUAUAGAGUGACAGUUAUUGCAUUGAUCAUUAGCAUUUAACUUGACUCUUAUGGCUGUGCAUCUGAAACUUGGGCAGAUUAUUCACAUUGAACAUCACUAUUGAACUCAAACAAAGUUUGUUCAACUUGACAAUGAUUAUCUACAUUCAUAAACUGACAUAAAUUUCGUCAUUCUUUGAUGAAAAUGGGUUUUCUUAUUGCCUCUUCCAGGUCUUCAAAUGUAUUAAAUCAUUUGUAAUCAUUGGAUUUUUAAUGUUGCCUAUCCUUGUUUUCUAGCGUGGUCUUAAUGAGAAUGUUCUCACAUUGUAUUUUGGACACUUGGUUUCCUACCGAAAUCCAGCCCUCCUUAUUGUUGGAGUAUCUUCCAUUUGUGCUCUUGAUUUCCUUACAGAUAUGGGAAGUAGAUGUGACCAUAACUGGCUCCCAGAAAGCUCUUGAUAAAUUUGCUAACUGCACUUAAUAGUUGUGUGUGUGUGUGUGUGUGUGUGUGUAUAUAUAUAUAUAUAUAUGAUUAUACCAUUAUGGCUUCGUGUCAAAAUUUUGUAUGUUUUCAGACUUUGAUAUAUUGUUUGUGGUCCUGUCCUUACAAAAACAAAGGAAGAGAAAAACAAAAAGCAGCAUACGUCCAUGUUCCUUUCAGGUGGUUGUAAUGUAAAAUAAUGGCACAGUAUUGUUGGUUACUGACUGUUUUGAUAAAACUUGAGAUGGAAAAUUAAGCAGCAAGUCUGUAAUGUUUGAGUAUUAUGUAUUCGGAGACCUAUAAAAUGACACAGACUAAGAAAAGGAUUACAGGCGAAGAAUAGAGACACUUGAAAGAAAAGCAAAACAGCUUGCCCACUUCUGCAGCUUUUAACUUCAAAAGUACCCUUGUGGUGUACCAGAUUAAGUUCUAUCAAUAUCCAUCUUGUGUCUGAAGUUCUGGUUCAGUUGAAAAUGAGGAAGGGAAGAUAUUUCUGCAAAAGAAUCUGUCUGCUUGAAUUGGGAGAAAGGUGCUGAUACCCUUCAAAUGGAGUGCACCUGCAAAGGUGAACUUGCACUGGGCAUAUCAAGAGUGUGCAGUUAAAUUGUUUAACAUUAAAGAGAUCAUGUGAUGUGUGCAAUCAAGCAGUUCAGAACCUACCUGUUAGUGACAUGAUGUGUUUUUAUAACAGACUGCUCAUUUGAUGUAUUAUUGGGAACCUCAUUGUCUGUAAUUGUAGGAUCAGUACUGGUUAGUUAUUAGUUACCUACUGAUUACAAGUGUCAGUUGCAUAGAAAGGUUGCGUGAGGCUCAUUUUGAAAGAAGGCCAAGUUCAGAACAUGUGAUGUAUUUUUCUUCAUUUGUUUAUUUUCAUAGCGCAAAACUGUCAAGACUAGUGCCUUUGUUUGUAGGCCAUGCAAGGAUGAGAUCAAUAAUUGUAGUAUUGAGUUUGAUGCUUAGCACUAAAUUAUUGAUAUGGCUACUCUGUCUCUGCUAUUUGGCCAGUUUGGCAUAACUGUUGGUUCUUCUGCAUAUCCUAUUUCCUCUACCAUCUCUCUCUUAAAUGGUAGUAAGAAUACCUGAGUUUUAAGAAUUUUACAUGGACUUCUUUUGUUGUAUGCAGUCGCAAUUUGGUGCAUAGCUCUUAUCACAGGUCGGAUUUCAGCACCAUUUGUUUUGUUCAAAAGCUAACACACAAAGCUUUCAGAUGGUAUAACUUUCGGAUUCGUUUUCCAUGCAAGUCAACAUUCCAAACCCAAACCUGUUUACUGCAUAAUGCCCCAUAUGAAAGCAAAGCAAUUGUUCCUUCAAUUUAGGAGUGAGAGUGGGUUAGGGUUAUUUUGGAACUAAGGAGUACAAAAACUAUUGAAUGUCUUUUAAUUUUAAUUAAUAUGUAAAUAAUUGAUUCUCUUCACGAUUUAUUGUUGUAUUUGACUUUUAGCUUUGGCUUGUUUAUU
Molecule: RNA transcript, 6173 nt
Organism: Glycine soja
Lineage: Eukaryota; Viridiplantae; Streptophyta; Magnoliopsida; Fabales; Fabaceae
Gene name: probable pre-mRNA-splicing factor ATP-dependent RNA helicase DEAH5
Exons: 5
Source: RefSeq, a predicted model, not a curated record